UCUCCGUUGGUGAACCAGCGGAGGGAUCAUUACAGGGUCUUCGACUGCCCAAAAAACACCUGUGAACCUUUUUUUUUUAAGCAAAAGACUGCGGCGGGCGACUCGCUGGAGGAGUCGUCAAGAGCCCGCCGGAGUCGACGCUGAAGCUGUUGCGCCGAGAAAAUUCUUCUGACUAUUAUGCGCCCCUGCUUAGGCGGGGUAAGUAAAAAAUAAAUCACAACCCAUAACAAUGGAUCUCUUGGCUCCG
Molecule: unclassified non-coding RNA, 247 nt
Filed under: soil metagenome
Description: partial contains small subunit ribosomal RNA and internal transcribed spacer 1
Source: RNAcentral